RNAcentral lists this transfer RNA (72 nucleotides) under Pseudomonadota bacterium. Its description in RNAcentral is "tRNA-Met". It matches the Rfam family "tRNA". From Rfam's summary of the family: Transfer RNA (tRNA) molecules are approximately 80 nucleotides in length. Their secondary structure includes four short double-helical elements and three loops (D, anti-codon, and T loops). Further hydrogen bonds mediate the characteristic L-shaped molecular structure. tRNAs have two regions of fundamental functional importance: the anti-codon, which is responsible for specific mRNA codon recognition, and the 3' end, to which the tRNAs corresponding amino acid is attached (by aminoacyl-tRNA synthetases). tRNAs cope with the degeneracy of the genetic code in two manners: having more than one tRNA (with a specific anti-codon) for a particular amino acid; and 'wobble' base-pairing, i.e. permitting non-standard base-pairing at the 3rd anti-codon position. The record is from RNAcentral. Lineage: Bacteria; Pseudomonadati; Pseudomonadota. RNAcentral also lists the same sequence under 1 other name.
GCCGGUGUAGCUCAGCGGUAGAGCAGGGGACUCAUAAGCCCUUGGUCGCCCGUUCGAAUCGGGCCUCCGGCA